UGGGGAAUUUUGGACAAUGGGCGAAAGCCUGAUCCAGCAAUGCCGCGUGCAGGAAGAAGGCCUUCGGGUUGUAAACCGCUUUUGUCAGGGAAGAAAUCCUUUGAGCUAAUACCUCGGGGGGAUGACGGUACCUGAAGAAUAAGCACCGGCGAACUCUGUGCCAGCAGCCGCGGUAAUACAGAGGGUGCAAGCGUUAAUCGGAAUUACUGGGCGUAAAGCGCGCGUAGGUGGUUUGUUAGGUUGGAUGUGAAAUCCCCGGGCUCAACCUGGGAACUGCAUUUGUGACUGCAUAGCUGGAGUGCGGCAGAGGGGGAUGGAAUUCCGCGUGUAGCAGUGAAAUGCGUAGAUAUGCGGAGGAACACCGAUGGCGAAGGCAAUCCCCUGGGCCUGCACUGACGCUCAUGCACGAAAGCGUGGGGAGCAAACA
This 427-nucleotide ribosomal RNA is filed under the name uncultured bacterium. RNAcentral describes it as "bacterial SSU rRNA". It matches the Rfam family "Bacterial small subunit ribosomal RNA", at positions 355 to 774 of the family's 1533-position model. The record is from RNAcentral.